This 253-nucleotide ribosomal RNA is filed under the name uncultured bacterium. Its description in RNAcentral is "partial 16S ribosomal RNA". It matches the Rfam family "Bacterial small subunit ribosomal RNA", at positions 524 to 776 of the family's 1533-position model. The record is from RNAcentral.
UACGGAGGGGGCGAGCGUUAUUCGGAAUUAUUGGGCGUAAAGGGCGCGUAGGCGGCUUGAUGUGUCAAAGGUGAAAUCCCUCGGCUCAACUGAGGAACUGCCUUUGAAACUGUCUGGCUUGAGGCCGGGAGAGGGUAGCGGAAUUCCCAGUGUAGCGGUGAAAUGCGUAGAUACUGGGAGGAACACCGGUGGCGAAGGCGGCUACCUGGACCAACACUGACACUGAGGAGCGAAAGCCAGGGGAGCAAACGGG